AGUACAUAAACGCCUACGUCAGAAUCUGGAGUCAGCUGGAGUGUGCCAGCAGCAAGAUGGCCCUUACCAGAUGCUGGCACCUUGAUAUUUGACUUCCCAGCCUCCAGAACUAUUCAUUAAUGAUGUCAGAAGUGUAAAACUAAAGGCAGAAGACUGUUGUUUUCAAGAUUGCUCCCCAACUAGGCUUGGCGACCCUUGAAGGCAGAGGACCUUUCUGAGUUAUCUUUGUACCCUGCAUAGUCCUGGCACAAAAUAGCACCUAAGUC
This 266-nucleotide long non-coding RNA is filed under the name Homo sapiens (human). Its description in RNAcentral is "non-protein coding lnc-MRPL3-2:8". The record is from RNAcentral. Lineage: Eukaryota; Metazoa; Chordata; Mammalia; Primates; Hominidae.